UCACUGAUUUAUGAUUUAUUGAAGUUGGUGCAUGUUUGGUUGACUUCUUUGAGCAUGUUUGAACUUGCCCUGCCUUUCUGAUUUUCAUUUCCAUACUUCCCAUGAUCCAAAUGAGCUGAAAUUUGGUGUGCUUAUCAUGUUAUGGAUGAUGUUUGAUCAUGAAUUAUUUGAGAAUUUAUUGAAUUGUUUAUGAUUGGUUUUGAGUUGAGUCUUGCUGUUGACUUCUAUGAGCUUCCAUAUGCCAUGCUUUGACCUAAUUUG
This 261-nucleotide long non-coding RNA is filed under the name Lathyrus oleraceus (garden pea). Its description in RNAcentral is "Pisum sativum (pea) long non-coding RNA (PSAT_LNC022276)". The record is from RNAcentral. Lineage: Eukaryota; Viridiplantae; Streptophyta; Magnoliopsida; Fabales; Fabaceae.